This 72-nucleotide transfer RNA is filed under the name Candidatus Iainarchaeum sp. RNAcentral's name for it is "tRNA-Ile". It matches the Rfam family "tRNA". From Rfam's summary of the family: Transfer RNA (tRNA) molecules are approximately 80 nucleotides in length. Their secondary structure includes four short double-helical elements and three loops (D, anti-codon, and T loops). Lineage: Archaea; Nanobdellati; Candidatus Iainarchaeota; Candidatus Iainarchaeia; Candidatus Iainarchaeales; Candidatus Iainarchaeaceae. The record is from RNAcentral.
GGGAGUGUGGCUCAGUGGUAGAGCAUCGCUCUGAUAAGGCGAGGGUCGCAGGUUCGAUUCCUGCCAUUCCCA